This 312-nucleotide ribosomal RNA is filed under the name Podarcis cretensis. RNAcentral describes it as "partial large subunit ribosomal RNA". It matches the Rfam family "Bacterial large subunit ribosomal RNA", at positions 2024 to 2535 of the family's 2925-position model. The record is from RNAcentral. Lineage: Eukaryota; Metazoa; Chordata; Lepidosauria; Squamata; Lacertidae.
ACGGACUAGCCAAUGAAAUUGAUCCUUCAGUACAAAAGCUGAAAUUAACCCAUAAGACGAGAAGACCCUGUGGAGCUUCAAAACCAAAACCACUAAACAUGCCUCCUGGUUUUUUAGUUGGGGCGACUUUGGAGCAAAAAAAACCCUCCAAAACAUAAAUCUAUUUAUUAAGAACAACACACCAAAAAUAAUAUUAUAGACCCAGCAGUAUUAAUUUACUGUCUGAUCAAUGAACCAAGUUACCCCAGGGAUAACAGCGCUAUCCUCUUCUAGAGUCCUUAUCGACAAGGGGGUUUACGACCUCGAUGUUGG